Molecule: long non-coding RNA, 1138 nt
Organism: Diabrotica virgifera virgifera (western corn rootworm)
Lineage: Eukaryota; Metazoa; Arthropoda; Insecta; Coleoptera; Chrysomelidae
Exons: 3
Source: RefSeq, a predicted model, not a curated record
UAAAUAUUAGCAUAGAGAGAGUGCCAUUCAGAGCGAAGUGACGACACCAUCUUUUUUAUUUGGAUUAGUGCUGUUUCACUCUUACGCAUAGUAAAGCUGCUACAGUUGUCCUCGUCUUCCGUGCCUAUAUUCACACUGAAUGUCAUUAUAGAUUCUCGAUACAAUCAUAGAGUUAAAUAUUAGCAUAGAGAGAGUGUCAUUCAGAGCGAAGUGACGACACCAUCUUUUUUCUUUGGAUUAGUGCUGUUUCACUCUUACGCAUAGUAAAGCUGCUACAGUUGUCCUCCUCUUCCGUGUCUAUAUUGACACUGAAUGUCAUCGAGAUUUUCGAUACAAUGUGUUAGAAAGAGAUGCAGCAAACCAGUCCAUGAGAUCUUGUCGUCAGGAAGCGCGGAAGGUAGGCUCCCUCUAUGUUAAUAUAUACCUCUAUGGAUACAAUGUGUUAGAAGGAGAUGCAGCAAGCCAGUCCCUGAGAUCUUGUCGUCAGGAAGCGCGGAAGGUAGGCUCCCUCUAUGUUAAUAUAUACCUCUAUGAUCUCAAUAUUUGACACAAAUUUGACAAUUGACAGAUUAUCUUUUAAAAAUAAAUGUAAAUAGUUAUCCUGAACAAAACAAAGUCGGGAACAAUGAACAAUGGAUUAAUGGAUAUGUAAAAGCCAUAAGGAGAACAGAACUAAAAUUAAAAUAUGAAAGAAUAUGCAAUAAACAUUGUAUAAAAGUGGAAAGCUAGCCACUUUAAAAAGAUAUUCCAAACUAAAACAUGGGUUACCAAAGCAGGCAAUAAAAAGAAAAGGUGAUCUAAAAUGAAAGAGAAGAGCUGAUGAAAGCAGUAAAUGUAAAAAAUAAUGAAGAGACUUCUCUAGACCAUGAACAAACACCAGCUAUUUUAUAUAUGUAGAAAAUGGAAAAACUGCUGAAACUUUACUUUAAAGGCUUUUGACUAGUGAAGAUUUGGAUAAACAACAGGAGUUACUUUGAGCUAUAGCUACAUGCAAAUUUAUUUUCUUGUGGCUUCCUAUGUUUAUUCUUAUUAACUAUAUCUACACUUUGAUAUGUUUUUAGUCGCAUGAAGAUUUUAUAGUUUAUUAUUUUAUGUAUAUUGUUAUAUUUGUGUUGAAUAAACAUUAUUAUUAUUAUUA